RNAcentral lists this transfer RNA (71 nucleotides) under Marmota monax (woodchuck). Its description in RNAcentral is "tRNA.Ala". The record is from RNAcentral. Lineage: Eukaryota; Metazoa; Chordata; Mammalia; Rodentia; Sciuridae.
GGCUGGGGCUUAGUGGUGGAGCGCUCACCUAGCAUGUGUGAGGCCCUGGGUUCAAUCCUCACCACCACCUA